UGGGGGACAAAUUGAAGUAAAAACAUAAUGAAUGUGGAAGGAUGAGUGUAUUAGAUUUCAGACAGGUAUAUUGCAUGAUGCAGUUUAGCAGUUAACAUCCUAUCAUGCUCUGUGGCAUAUGUAAAUGAGGGAAUAUAUUUUGGAAGAAUGGAGCUCCAUCCCCCUGAGUUACAGAGACUUCUAUGCCAAGGCUCAUUCAAGCCGUUAACACCUGAAUAACACACUGUUGUGUUUUCUUUUCACUAGUUACAUUUCUUUUGGUUCCAGUACAUUUAACAACAUCAGUCUUACAAGAAAUAUUCACUCCAACACACAGAGAGCAGCUGUGGAGAGGAAACUGUCAGGCUCUGGAGGAGACCCUCCACGGACCUCUAAAAGGGUCUCUGUAGGUCGUGGCAAGCCGAGGGGAAGGCGAGGAGGGCGACGCCAAGCCUCAGCUACAGUCACACACCCCCGGUUGAGUGUUCCCUGUCAUCCAGCGUGGAGGUUCCCUCAGAAAUACUAAAUCCUUAAGAGGAAUUUGAGAAAAAUAUGGAGAGGCUCUCAAACAUUUUGGCAUCAUGUCCUUCUGCUGAGCCUCAAAGAAGCUCUGCUUCAUCAUGGUCUUUUCGGCAGCAGAAAGCCUCAGAGCGCUGGAAAGAGGCAAGACCAUACCACCUACGAUGCCUUAUCGCAAAGGAGGCUGUUGGUCAUCCCUCGUGUUGCCUUUUUCAAUAAUAUUAAACUUGAAUUACCCAGGGUCGGUUUGCUGAGAAUUAAUGCUCAGUGCUUUAUAAGCUAAGAUGCAUGUCUUGUGGAAUGGUAGAAAACUUGGACACCCAGAUGAAAACCACAUUAAUGAGAAAAGUAAAUCUAGGAACGUUGUGCUGUGAGGUGAUAGUGCUAAACACUGAGCUACUGUGCAGUCCUAUAAAAUCAGAUCAGAACUAAUCAAAGUACAUUUGAAAUAAAUUAUUCACCUGAAAUAAUGUAUAUUAGAAUGUUUUUUUCUCUCUAGGUGCAGAGAGUGUCUUCCUGAGGAUUGGUUCUGUGGGGACUGUGAUGUAUUGCAUCACAAAAAACAGCCUCUCCACAACAGGGAAAGUGUGAUUCAUGGGUUUUUUGAAGCCAUUCCUCCAGCCUCAUGCAUCAUUAAAGGAGAUGGUGGAUAUUGCACUUAUGAGCACGGUACGUUCACAUGAAAGUCCUAAUUUUGCUGUUCAUGUGUGUCAGCAGCCAGUUACAGAUCAUCUAAAUUAGUGGUUUUCAUUCUUUUUGCCAGCUUGCAUUUUGCCAACUGUGAAGGUGCCAGACUGCUCCUGUGAAGGCACAAACUUCACUGUAUUACCAGGCAAACCAGUGAUUAUCUGGGGAAUAAUAUGAGCUUUGUUAAUUUUGAAUUUUGACAUCAUAAAUGUAAACUCCCCAGGAGUGUUUUUUGACGUUUCAUAUCAGGCCUCCUCCAAUCACACUCCAUCACAGUGAGAAAAGAAGAAAUAUUUUUAUUUGAACAGACCAAACCAUAAUGUAUCAGAAUAUACUCAGUGUAAAGAUAAACAUUUUACCAAAUAAAAACAAAAUAUUUAGUUUCAAA
Molecule: long non-coding RNA, 1573 nt
Organism: Megalobrama amblycephala (Wuchang bream)
Lineage: Eukaryota; Metazoa; Chordata; Actinopteri; Cypriniformes; Xenocyprididae
Exons: 3
Source: RefSeq, a predicted model, not a curated record